AUUUAAGUUCAGAGUCAGACUGAUGAAGAGUAAAGAGGAUGUUCUUUGCAAUGGUAACCAGGACAUAUUCUGCUUUAAAUGAAAGAAGGUCAGACUUGUCGAGAACCUGUCUCUAUGGAUUGCAACAAAGAAGGCUUCCUCCCUGCUGCUUCAUAAAAUUACUGUAAAUUGCCCUUCAGUUGAUGGUGGCUUCAAGCUAUUUCAAAACGUUUAGAAAGUAUGAUCCACUCAUUCAGUGUCAUUAUUGCACGCUGUUUGAAUAGGUGUCUAGAAAGUAAAGAGAAAAUAAAGAGGUGAGAUGGGAAAUUAUCACAGAAUCACAGAAUACACUGAGUUGGAAGAGACCUGCAAGGAUCAUCAAUCCCAGCUCCUGGCCCUGCACAGGACCAUCCCCAAGAUCUCAUCAUGUGCCUGAAAGAAUUGUCCAAAUGCCUCUUGAGCUCUGUCAGGCUGGUGCUGUGGCCACUUCCCUGGGGAGCUUGUUCCAGCCACCCUCUGGGUGAAGAACUCUUUUCCUAAUAUCCAGUUUAAACUUCUCUUGACUCAGACUCCAUCCAUUCCAUCAUGUCCUGUCACUGUCACCACAUAGAACUGACAUGUACCUACUCCUCCCACUUUGCUGACAAGGAAGUUUUAACUGCAGUGAGGUCCUCCCCAGUAUCCUUUUCUCCAGGCUGAACACACCAAAUGUCCUCAGCCACUCCUCACACAGCUUCACCCCAAGGUCCUUCACCAUCCUUGUGGUCAGAUGGAGGAGGUGGAAAGGGAUGUGAGACAAAGCCCCAUAUGUGAGGCUGAGGGGGAGCUGCUGUGCCAUCAAGAGAGACCCCAACAGUGUCACUGACAGGGACCAGAAGAUUUCACUUUGAAGUCAGGGAACCAGAAUGACCUAGUGCUUCCUGCUUCCCACUAGCAGCCCUGGAGAACACUGUCAGGUAGGACACAGUGAUAGUUUUAGUCAUACUCCCAGCUCUGAAGAAAUCAGUCCUACAAAAUUCCCUGGAUUGAUCAACACCAUUCAGCUUUCACCACCUCACAAUUGCUUGUAUGACCUUCCUGAUGUAGUAUGUGAUGACGAAAAGGAUCAUGAGAGGAACAAAGGAAAAUUUAAGAAGAAAUUUAAAAAGAAUGGAAGGUUAUGGUACAUUUCAAGAGGAUGAUUUUGGUUAUGAAGCUGGAAGUACUUCAAAGUUGAAACAGUCCAAGGAACUGCAUAUCCUCAAGAAAUCCAACUUUAAACAAACAAAUGAGAAGGAAUUUAAAAUUAAAGAGGAACCCAAAAAUGACAUGCACACAGAACACAAACAUAAGUAAGAUAAACAUCAAGAGAAAGAGUUAAAAGAUAUAACUGGAGUAGACAUUGCAAAACAGUGAGAAGAAAAGCAAGCAAGGAGCAACAUGUCAUGCCAUUGCCAAGUAAAGACAGGAAAGAAAUUCUGUUUUAAUCAGAAUCCUUGUCUAUGCAUAAAAUCAACUGAACUGUGAAAAUUACUGUAAUUUGAGUCAAACUGCACAAAUUAUUGCUGGCUGUAUAGAUGCUGUGAUGAAACCUUUCUUCUUAGCCUGGAGAGUUUCAUAUUUAUCUCUUCCACACAUCAGACUCAGGGGAGUUUAGAGAGGCCAGAAGAGUUUUCCAGUGCCUUUCAGAUUACUUCAAGACUUAUUUUCUCCAGGUGAUUUAAAAUAAUUUAGUAGCAGUUUUAUUUCCAACUAAAUUAAUUAUUUACAUUAUGAUACUUGCCUUGCUGUGAGUUUGUUUGAGGAGGGAUUUUAAGUUACACUGAAAGCACCUGAAUUUUAAAACCCUUUUGAUCCAUAAUUUUCACCUUCUGAACUUUGACUAUGACUAAUCUCCUGAUGGAGCAGCUUUCUUAAUUUCCAAAACAUGUUUUCUAUGACUGUUUCUUGGUAAACUUCUGUUGGUUAGUGUUGUUUGUUAAAUAUAUUAAUCAACACUACAGUGUACCUCUUACCUGAAAGUCACCAUCCAACACAAAACAAAAUCAUCUACUCUGUGCAUGCUUUCAACCUUAAGCCAAGGCUAUGCGGGAGAAAAGAGGAAAAUACAAGUUUGUACAUCAGGCACUAUUUGUGCAAAGGCAGAUUGAUAUCCAAUUGUUUUUGUGAGCUUUUCUUGGUACAUCAACAUACUGGCUUUUAAUUAAUCACUUUCAAACAUGCUAUGUACAGCUUAGUUUUCCUAAUUGCACAUAAUUGUAAAAUUUUGUGUUUGAUUUGAAGUAAGACAAAAAAUAUUUUUUUCCUCUCUAGAUUAUUUACCCUCUGAUUCCCUUUUCAGUGAAGAAGGUUUCAGAGAAAAAUGAGCAAAAUUUCAGCUUUAUAUAGUGAAGGUACUUUAAAAGUGUAUGAAUUUGGCACCAAUAAUUACAUUUGAUGCUCAAGGUCGAUACCUGAUUUCAUUUAAUGAGAAUUAGUCAUCAAAUUUCAUCAUAACACCCAUCAGGCUUGUAAUAUUUACAGCCUUCCAAACAGAAGACAAGCCCCAGGAGACCAUAUUUUAAAGUGACUCUCAUGGGCUGGGAAAUCACCACCUGCCUCUCCACUUGCACAUAUUUCACAACUGCAGAGGCCUCCAGAUAGCAAGAUUUUAUGAGAGGAAAAAACAACCCAUUUUAAGUUAGUGGAGACACUGAAAACAAGCAGUUGUUUCUGGAGAUCAUCUCUGUAGUCUCCAGACUACAUGCCCAACAUGAUCCAGAGGAAGCAAAUGGCAGCAAAUUAAUUAUUCAGUAGCUGGUGUGUAGAGAAUCUACUAUAGAGCAACACCUUCUCUCAGCUGGAGACAAAGCAAUGAGGAAAAAACUUCAGGAAGUGCUUCCACUCACUAUGUAAGGACUUCCUGUCUUCUAGCAAAAAGCAAAACAGAGAGAAGGAGCAGAUGACACCAAAGGAGUAAAAGUGAGAAUGAAUCCACAGCUUUUCUGAGUUUUUGCACUCUCAUCAUUCUACUGGAAGCACUCCUAGUAUGUCAAAAUUUCUCUUGGGCUUGGAAGAACGCCUGUGCCAAUCAAGAUGAUCGGCCUGCAGACUAUUUUUCCACUGCUCCUUGGGGAAGGAAUUCGAUCAUACUCUCUGGCUGCAGACAUCCAGUUGCUACCUCUGCUGACCUCAGCUGUUGUCAUGAUCUGCCUAAUAAAAUCAGAACAAUCUUUAUGUGAGAAAGCUUUGCAGUUAGACAGAGAUUAAACACACUCUCAUCAAUGUCUACAAAUUAAAUUUUCACAUCAUAACUCUUUAGCCCCAGACUGUUCCCUGUACUGGGCCAAAUUAAAUUUUUGAAUGCACUGCUCAGAACUGGGUUUUUAGUAUCAUAAAUAUUAAUUCUUUUAUUCCUCAUGCCAAGUCUAAGACACCACAACUAAAAGUAUAAAGUAUGUUUCAGCUCAUUAUUUGUCUAUAACAGAACAUUUUGUAAAAAUGCAAGUGAAAAGGUACAGUGAAGCACUUAGUAAAUCAUUGUUGUACAAAAUGUCCACAGGAGGGAAUGGGGUGCACAAGUAAAUAUGUAUUCCUGAAAUGAAACAAUGUCAAGAAAUCAUGCUUAGAGAAAACACAUGGCAAGAGUGAGCAGUUCUGUAAUCAAAGCACAUGCUUGUUGCAGCCUGUAGUGAUGGUAAACUGAUGACAAAAGCACAGCCAGAAACCCAGCCACAGCUCUGUGAACCAUGUUUAAGAAGAUUAAACCAUAAUGUAAGAAAUACUGAAACCGCAGCACAAUAUAGUAGAAAUUGUCCAAUGUAAAGAAAAAGUUUAGGGAAAAGAGCAACAUAUUGCAAAUGAAAACUGGAUGCCACAUUUGUGAAAAAAGGGAGAAAAAGGGAGCUGAAAUGAAACAUAUGAGUGUCUAGUAUGGAAAUAUAAAGAUGUAUGUGAAUCUUAGGGGAAAGUGUACAAUUUGAAGGGCUAGAAUAACAGCCUUAUGUUAACUAAUAUGGGAUUAGUCCAUACUGCUGGAAUGAAAGCUCUAGUUACAGCAACUAAGUAACAAUUUCCUUUAAUAAAAAUUUGUACUGACCUAAAA
Lonchura striata (white-rumped munia) is the source of this 4042-nucleotide non-coding RNA. Lineage: Eukaryota; Metazoa; Chordata; Aves; Passeriformes; Estrildidae. The record is from RefSeq and is a predicted model, not a curated record.